UAUGAAGAGUCAAAAGAUGAUUUAAGGUUUCAAAAAGAGAUAACCCAAAUAUAAAGAGAUUCUGCCUUAGAAGCCAUGGAUCUAACCAGAAAAUAUAAAGAUCUUACUCAGACAGCUAAGGGUCCUGAGAACGGUCUGAAAGGCUAUGGGUGUGAGUUGAACAGCCUCUAGUCCCCUUGAGGAUCAAAGUAGCAAGGAUCUGGCGUAUGAGGGGGCCAUGGAGGCUAGGCUAGUGGUGGAAACACCAUUGAUACCGGCGAGCCAACAGUCGACGAGUAGGAGCUUAGGUUUAGCAGAGAGAGCCUUGAGAGAGUUGAG
RNAcentral lists this long non-coding RNA (318 nucleotides) under Nicotiana benthamiana. Its description in RNAcentral is "long non-coding RNA (NBEN_LNC013492)". Lineage: Eukaryota; Viridiplantae; Streptophyta; Magnoliopsida; Solanales; Solanaceae. The record is from RNAcentral.